AAGGCUUUUUGAAUAAAAGGAUCCAUUUUGUAAUAUCAUGGCCUAAUUCAUAAUUUCAAGUUCAAGACAUUUCAUUAUUUCAUGGCGUAUUUGAUCACGUAAUGUUUCUCAAGGGUCAUGUCAAUCAAUGCAAGUGGGUGGUCUUUAGCCACUGAUUGGUCAAACUUUUUGCGUUGGCCGUCUGCAAAAGAUAAAGCUCAUUUCAGCCACAGAUUUCGCUGCAGGUCUUCUAUUUCGAAAGUGUUUUAAAAAAUGAAAGGAGUGCCUCCGCCACCUCUGACCAACUCUCCUCCCUCCAUCCCCUUCCCUCCCCUGUUAAAGGUUCGACUCAACCUCCUGUUGAACACAUCUCUCUCCCUGGGUCAUCUCUCGAGCACACCUACCCAGCGAAUACCUCAACAGGGGUGUUCCAUCCUGCUUGUCUGGUCAUGGAGACACCAGCCCAGAGGACAUAACAGUCAUUCAACAGCCUUUUCAGGACCACUCUUACCCAAGGCCCCAGAUCGCAGCAGCCCGUGGCCAGGUUCUUCGCAGGACCCACUCAGACACCCCACUGUUUCUGAAAAAAAAGACCCAGAGGGACAGAGGAGAAUGCAGGGACCUUGUCGACUUGGAACUGCUUGGGCUGCCCAACAUUGGCAACACUUGCUUUCUUAAUGCAACACUGCAGUGCCUGCUGUUCCUUCCCAUCUUCUGCAAGGAAAUCCUCCGCCAGGAAAAUCACUGAAGGUUGUCCCCCUUCUCCAACCUGCUCAGCUGCGGGAGAAAGUCAUCCACCAAGGAGGAGUACAACCACCUCUCUCUGGACAUCAGCCCUGAUUGUACCCUGCAGGGCAGCCUGGCACUGAAUUUCCAGGUCUGCAAAGGCCUCCAGGCAUCAAAGAUGGAGCAGUUUCACACCCUGCCUCGAGGUAUGGUGGACCUUCUGGUCUGGAUAAGAUGGAGACUCCUGUUGUGAUUCCUCCAAAUCUGACACUCACCACACUCUGUGGGGACAAAGUGCCUCCCCUGCAAAGUGUCAUACCAGAGGAACAGGCCCUCACCAACAACCAGACAAUCAGCCCUCCUGGACAGGCCGAAGAAUGUGUGCCCUCAGCCGUUCUGUAGGACAAAAAGACUGCGCCCUCUGCAGUUCAGGAGCAGCCUGUGAAGUCCGGCUACUAUCAGUUGACUGGCAUAGUCUCUCAUUUAGGAGGCAGCAUGAUGACCGGCCACUACGUUAGUGAUGUUCUGGAAGCCAGUGGAAAAUGGCCCUGCUGUAAUGACAGCAAGGUGUCAGUGUCACGUGAAAACACUGUGCUGAGGUCCAGAGCCAGGAGCGCUUACCUACUCUUGAAAGAAAUCUGUGAUUCUACUAGAAGUCAUCUGAAAUGGCAGGGAAGUAGGAGGCACCAGCUCAAAGGACCUAAAGGGGCCCACCAUCAACCACUCAAUUCAACCAGAAGUGGCCCAAUCUUACAACUCCAGUCCAGCCUCAAUAGAGAACGCAGUGGCCCAGCCUCACAACCCCAGUCCAGCCUCAGUAGAACCAGAAGUGGCCCAAGCCUUACAACCGCAGUCCAGCCUCAGUAGAACCAGCAGUGGCCCAGCCUCACAACCCGGUCCAGCCUCAAUAGAGACAGCAAUGGCCCAGCCUCACAACCCCAGUCCAGCCUCAAUAGGAGCAGUGGCCCAGCCUCACAACCCCAGUCCAACCUCAAUAGAGACAGCAGACGCUCAACCUCACAACACCAGUCCAGCCUCAGUAGGGACAGCAGUGGCCCAGCCUCACAACACCAGUCCAGCUUUAGUAGAGCCAGCAGUGGCCCAACCUCUCAACCACAGUCCAGACUCAGACCGGCCCGUCUGGCACCAACAACCAUGCCACUCUCAAAAUUGCUUAAAUCACCUUUCUUUCCCA
Esox lucius (northern pike) is the source of this 1900-nucleotide long non-coding RNA. RefSeq lists it as uncharacterized. The record is from RefSeq and is a predicted model, not a curated record. Lineage: Eukaryota; Metazoa; Chordata; Actinopteri; Esociformes; Esocidae. The transcript is spliced from 9 exons.